GCAGAUCCAGCCCCAGGAGCCAUAGAGAGGAGGUUUCGUGGGUGCAAGAAGAAAAGAGGUACAGAACACCCAGAGGUGCCCUCGAUUCCGUCUUGCACUUGCCCUUCUCCCACCGUCCAGCAAUAAAGCGAGAGAAACAAGUGCAGGAAACUGGCCGGCAGUCAUGGGAGAAGCCAAAAAGACAGGAGUUCAGUGGCAUGACCAGGGCUCACUGCAACCUUGAUCUGGGCUCAAGUGAUCCUCCUACCUCAGCUUCCUGAGUAGCUAGGACCACAGGUGUGCACCAACCACACCCGACUAAUUUUUGUAGAGAUGAGAUCCCACUAUGUUACCCAGGCUGGUCUUGAACUCCUGGGCUCAGGUGAUCAUCCUGCCUUGGCUUCCCAAAGUACUGGGAUUAUAGGCUUGAGCCACCGUGCCUGGCCUGUGAUCAGAAUUCUCAUUUUUUUAGUCACUAAAAAUGCUGGGGGGCACUCCAUUCUCCAUUAUGUGAUUAGUUCACAUUGCAUGCUUGUAUCAAAACAUCAUAUAUACCCCACAAAUAUAUACAAAAAACUUUAAAAUUUUAAGUAUUAAUUGCUCAGGAAAAAAUUAAAAUGCUGGGGUGCUGAAAUCUCAAGGGCCCCAUUACAAAACUCCUUAGGAACCUCGCCCUCUCUCUGCUGUAAGGACUGGUUCCAGAAUGAGAGAAUUUAAAAGACAUUCCCCCCCCAAAAUGUUCAUAAUGUCACCCCGGAAACCUGCGAAUAUGUUAUAUUACAUGACCAGGGAGAAGUAAGGUUGCAGAUGGCAGUAAGGUUGCUAAUGGGCUGACCUUAAGAUAAGGAGAUGAUCCUGGAUUAUCUGGGUGGACCCAAUGUAAUCACAAGGGUCCUUAACUGUGGAAUAGUGAGGUGGCUGAGUCAGAGGCAGAGUGAUGCAAUGACUGAAAGACUUAACCAGCCAUCACCGGCUUUGAAUACGGAAGACGGUCAUGAGCCAGGGAAUGCAGGCAGGCUCUGGGAGCUGAAAAAAGCAAGAAAAUGGAUUCUCCCCUGGAGCCUCCAGAAGGGAUGCGGUCCUGCCAACCCCUUGUCAGUGAGCCAUUUCAGAUUUCUGACUUCCAGGACUGUAAGAAAAUAAACUUGUCUUGUUUUCAGC
RNAcentral lists this long non-coding RNA (1140 nucleotides) under Homo sapiens (human). Its description in RNAcentral is "HSALNT0359720". The record is from RNAcentral. Lineage: Eukaryota; Metazoa; Chordata; Mammalia; Primates; Hominidae.